GUGAUCAGGACAGAAUACAGACAAUUCACCAUGGAACUUGUGCUGGGCUGGGUUUUCCUUCUUGCUCUUUUAAAAGGUGUCCAGUGUGAGGUGCAGCUGGUGGAGUCUGGGGGAGACCUGGUGAAGCCUGGGGGAUCCCUGAGACUCUCCUGUGCAGCAUCUGGAUUCACCUUCAGCAACUACUACAUGUACUGGGUCUGCCAGGCUCCAGGGAAGGGGCUGCAGUGGGUCGCAAGUAUCAGAAGUGGUGGAGGUAACACAUACUAUGCAGACUCUGUGAAGGGUCGAUUCACCAUCUCCAGAGACAACGGCAAGAACACGUUGUAUCUGCAGAUGAAGAGCCUGAGAACCGAGGACAUGGCCCUGUAUUACUGUGCGAAGGACACAGUGAGGGGACAUCAGUGUGAGCCCAGACACAAAUCUCACUGUAAGACGGGAUCUGGACCACCAGGGGGUGAACACCACUCACCAAUCCUGUCUUUAAGCCCCAGGAGCAGAUGCAGAUGA
Molecule: non-coding RNA, 507 nt
Organism: Enhydra lutris kenyoni (northern sea otter)
Lineage: Eukaryota; Metazoa; Chordata; Mammalia; Carnivora; Mustelidae
Source: the annotation of a RefSeq genome assembly